RNAcentral lists this transfer RNA (71 nucleotides) under Ovis aries (sheep). It matches the Rfam family "tRNA". From Rfam's summary of the family: Transfer RNA (tRNA) molecules are approximately 80 nucleotides in length. The record is from Rfam by way of RNAcentral. Lineage: Eukaryota; Metazoa; Chordata; Mammalia; Artiodactyla; Bovidae.
CUCCACGUGUUUCAGAUGGUAAAGAAUCUGCCUGCAGUGCUGGAGACCAGGGUUCAGUCCCUGAGUGGAGA